This 677-nucleotide ribosomal RNA is filed under the name uncultured archaeon. Its description in RNAcentral is "bacterial SSU rRNA". It matches the Rfam family "Archaeal small subunit ribosomal RNA", at positions 321 to 999 of the family's 1478-position model. The record is from RNAcentral.
CCCUAUGGGGUGCAGCAGGCGCGGAACCUUUACAAUGCACGAAAGUGUGAUAAGGGAACCCUGAGUGCUGAUACUAUGUAUCAGCUUUUGCCAUGAGUAAAUAUCAUGGCGAAUAAGUGGUGGGCAAUACCUGUGCCAGCCGCCGCGGUAACCCAGGAGCCACAAGUGGCAACCGUAUUUAUUGGGCCUAAAGCGUCCGUAGCCGGUUCUGUAAAUUUUCUGUGAAAUCGUUGCGCUAAACGUAACGGCGUGCAGAAAAGACUGCAGGACUAGGGACCGGGAGGAGUUAGAGGUAUUUCGGGGGGAGCGGUAAAAUGCUAUAAUCCCCGAAGGACCACCUGUGGCGAAAGCGUCUAACUAGAACGGAUCCGACGGUGAGGGACGAAAGCUAGGGGAGCAAUCCGGAUUAGAUACCCGAGUAGUCCUAGCCAUAAACUCUGCGAGCUAGGUGUUACGUGUUUUUAGUGAAUACGUAGUGUCGUAGCGAAGGUGUUUAGCUCGCCGCCUGGGAAGUAUGGUCGCAAGGCUGAAACUUAAAGGAAUUGGCGGGGGAGCACUACAAGGGGUGCGGCGUGCGGUUUAAUCCAAUUCAACACGGAGAAUCUCACCAGAAGCGCCGGCAGGAUGAAGGUCAGGCUGAAGGUCUUACCCAACGAGCCGAGAAGAAGUGCAUGGCC